Long non-coding RNA from Hermetia illucens (black soldier fly), 455 nucleotides. RefSeq lists it as uncharacterized. The transcript is spliced from 3 exons. The record is from RefSeq and is a predicted model, not a curated record. NCBI's taxonomy places the organism in Eukaryota, Metazoa, Arthropoda, Insecta, Diptera, Stratiomyidae.
UGUUGCUAGAUUUUCGAAUUAUUAACUACUGUAUAGAAAAAAUGCCGUUAACUCUAAUUACUUAACUUGAGUUGAACUCAAGUUACGUGAAUUUCAACUCACAUCUCUCAUCUCUAGGUUGAGUUAAUUAAACCGAAUAGUGUUAUUUGAAAUUCUACAAUUGGAUUGUAUCAUAUGAACUAUGACGCCAAAGCUAACUGCCAUCCACCUCGAAAGAUUGUGUUUGCGCAAAAUUCGAUUGCAAUCUAAUGAUCAACUAUUCGGAAUUAUUGGCGUAUGAUGGACAGAGGGAUGGAUAAAUAUAGACACACAUUUUCAUUAAGAUUUAAUUAAGAUGUGGACAUGAUAAGUCCUAUAUUCCAGGUAAAAGCAAACGAUACCGAUAUACGAUUAUUAGUAAGUAAUAAAUAAUAACGGAAAAAAUCAGGCUCAAAUUGAUACAACUUGUUCAGCAC